Molecule: long non-coding RNA, 751 nt
Organism: Nerophis lumbriciformis (worm pipefish)
Lineage: Eukaryota; Metazoa; Chordata; Actinopteri; Syngnathiformes; Syngnathidae
Source: RefSeq, a predicted model, not a curated record
UCACUGGCAAAAACAUGGCCAGUACUAAAUUGUAAAGUGUAAAAACAUCUUCUCUUAAUCUUAUUAAAAACAUGAACACCUUGCUCAUUUUGCAAAGCGGACCUUGUUUUUAUGGCAGUACAUCUGUGAUACGCCAGCGUUUAAAGCGGAGAGACAUGAUGUCGUACAUUUUGAGGGAGGAUGCAUCUCAGCCUCGGUGGAGUGGCAGCUCACCUUGAAUACAAGUUCCCUGAGGCGGUCUGUGUAUUUGCUGUUGAGAAGCAGGGCGUAAAAAGAGUCGGCUGCUCCGGGCUCAAAGAGGAGCAGGAAGAGCUGGUCCCUGCAUGGACUACUCUGAAGGAGGCUGAGUAACAUCUCCAACAGCCCACAAAUCUUCAACACACACAAAAAAAGGAACCAAACUUAAUAUCCCAAGGCCUUAUUUUGCAGAGUACUUAUUGGUGCAUGAAAUCCAGCUGUCACUGUACGGGGCUUAAAAUGCUUACUGAGACGAUAAUGCUUCAAAAUAUCAAAACAGGAAAGAAAAAAAGGGAUGCCUGGCGGGAAAUGAGCCGGUAACUUCCUGCAAGGGCAUUGCUGCAGGAAUUCUACCGGGGAACCAGAAAGGUCAUCUCGCUGCCCACGCCGAGGAGAAGGAUCUGACCUAUUCGUAAAGGGAAGUCGCCUUUAUUCCAGAUGUUGAAGUUGAACAGCAGAUGUGCAUGAAGUUGCUGCAGCAGAGCUUGAUUCUUCUCAUAGGUCACCUGCUCUA